Molecule: ribosomal RNA, 253 nt
Filed under: uncultured bacterium
Lineage: Bacteria
Description: partial 16S ribosomal RNA
Rfam family: Bacterial small subunit ribosomal RNA
Source: RNAcentral
UACAGAGGGGGCAAACGUUGCUCGGAAUUAUUGGGCGUAAAGCGCACGUAGGCGGUCAUGUAAGUCAGGAGUGAAAGCCCUCGGCUUAACCGGGGAAGUGCUUUUGAAACUGCAUGACUUGAAUACUGGAGAGGGUCGCGGAAUUCCCGGUGUAGAGGUGAAAUUCGUAGAUAUCGGGAGGAACACCAGUGGCGAAGGCGGCGACCUAGACAGAUAUUGACGCUGAGGUGCGAAAGCGUGGGGAGCAAACAGG